RNAcentral lists this small RNA (30 nucleotides) under Bombyx mori (domestic silkworm). RNAcentral describes it as "ovarian small RNA-12958". The record is from RNAcentral. Lineage: Eukaryota; Metazoa; Arthropoda; Insecta; Lepidoptera; Bombycidae.
CACCGACGACUUUGCGCCCUCGACCGCGAC